RNAcentral lists this transfer RNA (74 nucleotides) under Actinomyces slackii. RNAcentral describes it as "tRNA-Arg(cct)". Lineage: Bacteria; Bacillati; Actinomycetota; Actinomycetes; Actinomycetales; Actinomycetaceae. The record is from RNAcentral.
UUGCGGCGGCGGCGCGGGCGUCGGGCCGGCUCCUGCUCGGCAGGCUCCUGGGGCUCGGCGUCCCCGGUCGCGGC